RNAcentral lists this ribosomal RNA (406 nucleotides) under uncultured bacterium. RNAcentral's name for it is "partial 16S ribosomal RNA". It matches the Rfam family "Bacterial small subunit ribosomal RNA", at positions 30 to 526 of the family's 1533-position model. The record is from RNAcentral.
AUUGAACGCUGGCGGCAGGCCUAACACAUGCAAGUCGAACGAGUGGCGGACGGGUGAGUAAUGUCGGGGAAACUGCCUGAUCGAGGGGGAUAACUACUGGAAACGGUAGCUACUACCGCAUACCAUCAGAUGUGCCCAGGUGGGAUUAGCUAUUUGGUGGGGUAACGGCUCACAAAGGCGACGAUCCCCAGCUGGUCUGAGAGGAUGACCGGCCACCCGGGAACUGAGACACGGUCCAGACUCCUACGGGAGGCAGCAGUGGGGAAUAUUGCACAAUGGGCGCAAGCGUGAUGCAGCCAUGCCGCGUGUAUGAAGAAGGCCUUCGGGUUUUAAAGUACUUUCAGCGGGGAGGCGUUACCCGCAGAAGAAGCACCGGCUAACUCCGUGCCAGCAGCCGCGGUAAUUC